CUCUAGAUUUAGGAUUUAGUUAAAUAGAAACUUUCUAUAGGUAGUAAAAUGUUGGUGUUAUGCUAAUUGUUUU
Molecule: transfer RNA, 73 nt
Filed under: Cancer pagurus (edible crab)
Lineage: Eukaryota; Metazoa; Arthropoda; Malacostraca; Decapoda; Cancridae
Description: transfer RNA-Leu
Source: RNAcentral